This is a long non-coding RNA of Vulpes vulpes (red fox), 2165 nucleotides long. NCBI's taxonomy places the organism in Eukaryota, Metazoa, Chordata, Mammalia, Carnivora, Canidae. The record is from Ensembl.
AGACACAGCCCUGCCCUCAAGGACCCCCAGUCUGAGGGGAGACACAGCCCUGCCCCCAGGUAGCCCCAGUCUGAGGGGGAGACACAGCCCUGCCCUCAGGGAGUCCCAGUCUGAGGGGAGACACAGUCCUGUCCUCAGGGAGCCCUUGCUUGAUGGGGAAAUGCAGUGUUCUCCUUACUUCUUCCCUCCUUGACAUUAUUUUCUCUCCCUAGCCCCAUCCUCUACUCUCAUGGAGGUUUCCUUCCCUAGGAAAGAUUGGGUGGGGGGCAUCAGAAGCUCCUGUCUGGCUCGGCCCCCUCCUUCCUGCUGACUCCAAGCCUGCUCACCACCCCUGUGAAACCUGAGUGUGAGGGUUCCAGGCGGGAGACUGAGUCAUGGUGACUCAAGGGUGAAUUGAACCCCCAUCCCCAUGACAGCAGCAGUCGUAUGAAAGGUGGCAUGAGAGCCAGGGGUAGGAAAAGAAAGGGCGCCUGCUGACUCCUAGCCCCUUCUUCUCUCUCCUGUCAGUGCUGGGGCCGCGCAUGCGUGCCGGAGAGCAUGUGCAGCUUGCAGCCCCGUGUCCUUUGCAUCUCGGCAGACAUGUGAGGCUGGAGUGAAUCACGGAGUAAGAAGUGGAUGUCUGGGAGCCAGAUGUGGCCCAGCUGUUUGGGGCAGCGAGCCUAGCCACCCCCAGACCAGAUGUGGCAGCACUUCUGUCUCUCUCCACCCUCUAUCUUCCAGGCUCUCAGAGUGUUUCUGGGGAAGAUCCUCCACCCUGGGCCCAAGCAAAGAUUCCCUCCCUACUGUGAGGAGUUGUUCUUCCCGCUCAGGAAGGCAUCCCCAAGUGGGUAAGAACAGGGCCUCCACACAGUCACAGGUACCCCAUCCCCCUUCACGUAAGCUUGAGGGCUCACUGGCACAAAUGCCUCAGAGCUCUUCCAAGGGCAGAGGCCAUGUCUUCUCCGUGGGAUUAGAGGGGCUGAAGGAAGACAGGGAAUGUACUAGCACACAAAUGCAAAGCACUCCCUCUAGCAGGCGUUCCUGCAGAUGUGGAUACCCAAGCUCGGGCUGCCUGAGAGCAGAGGCUGGCUCCCCGAUCAUACUGUCAUUUCCCUUAGGCAGAUGUCAGUACAACUUCCUCAUCAGACUGAAAUUCUCUGAAGGAUUUCAACAGCAGCAAGAAUGAGAGCUGUCAGUUCCCUGUGCACUUGCCCGGGAGCAGAUGCAAUGGGAAGCACACUGCAGGAAUUGCCUGCCCCUCCAAAUCCUCACGGCAAUUAGCUGCAGGGAAUUCUACUGUCAUCCCUACUAUACAGGUGAGGAAUCCCAGGAGCACCAGAGUGAGGGGCCUGGCUGGGGGCUGUAUUGACACGAUGCCACACUGAUUUGGUGGGGGUUUAAAAAAAAAUUGCUUCACCCUUGCCUUGAAUAGUGAGAUAGUAAGUAAGGCCUGUUCCCAAAGUACAGAUGGGAAAACAAUUGGACAUGGGCAGUGGGUCAGGUUGACCAUGCUGCUCUUCCCAUACCAUGACGCCUGACUGGCGGUCACCUGAAGCAUUUGCCUUGGGGAUAUUUCCUUCCUUCUGGGUAUCCUUCCUCAUUUCACCCGCUUGCCUGACUCCUCCCUCCUUCUCUUCCUCCCUUCCUUUCUUUUCUACCUUCACCAUUCAUCCAUCCCUAGUUCCUCCUGGAGCUCAGGUCCUCCCAACAAAACUGCUCCUGACCUUGCAGGGCAUGCAGGAGGGAACGCUCCUUGUGGGGAUGUCCCAUCCUGGACAACUCUUCUUUACACCACCUACCCUCACAUGGGGCUGGAGGUGAUUCUACCAGAGGAGGGGCCUGUAUCAGAGUUAAGUUCCAUCUAUAUAAGAUAGAGAUGAAUUUUUUGCUCCUGUACUUGAAGUCUGUAGGUAAACAUCCCCGGGCUGAUUAGAAGAUUACAGACUGUCAGGGACUCAGCUCCUUCUCUCUUACUGAUCUGCUGGGUAUAGUUUUCAUUUCCAAGGUCACUUCAUUGCUCAAGAUGGUUGCUGGACCUCUAGCCAGUAGAAGGGAGGAAGAAAGGCUUGAAACAGCACUUACCCCUUCCCUGGACACUUCCUGGACAUUGUACACACGCUGCUUGCAUCCCACUGGCCAGAUGUGGUCACCCAGCCACAUCUAGCUGCAAGGGAGGCUGAGCAGUA